GUAGUGUAUAAAUACACUAUUAAAAAAUGUAAUAGUUACACCAUGAAAAACCCCUGGGAGUGUACCAAUGCAAACUUCACUGGCAUUCCAUACAAAAAUGUGCAAAUAAAUUGAAUGACUGUGCGGUUACAAAAUUACUUCUAUAAGACAAAUAAAUUGCAUUACAGUUCCCUUAAUGACAGUAACUGUUUCCGUUAUCAAAUAUGGUGUCUUAUUUCAACACUACAAAAUAAUUAUACCCAAUUUCUACCGUCUGGACAGACGGAGUACAUACAAACUUCCUAACUUAUGACAUAUGCGUUGUUAACAUGAAUAGAGGAAUGAGGUUUUCCAGCAGCUUCAGAUUUCUUUUUCUUGCCGAAGACGCAACAACACAAAGAAAUAGCCGCAAUAAUCAGCAGUAAGACAAGAACAGGGACUCCAGCAACAAGAAGAUAAAACUCCACAGUUUUGCUGUCAUC
This is a non-coding RNA of Paramuricea clavata, 461 nucleotides long. Lineage: Eukaryota; Metazoa; Cnidaria; Anthozoa; Malacalcyonacea; Plexauridae. The record is from the annotation of a GenBank genome assembly.